CCUACGGGGUGCAGCAGUGAGGAAUAUUGGUCAAUGGGCUUACGCCUGAACCAGCCAAGUCGCGUGAGGGAAGACUGCCCUAUGGGUUGUAAACCUCUUUUGUCAGGGAGCAACGCCCGCUACGUGUAGCCGGACUGAGAGUACCUGCAGAAAAAGCAUCGGCUAACUCCGUGCCAGCAGCCGCGUUAAUCCGGAGGAGGCGAGCGUUAUCCGGCAUUAUUGGGUUAAAAGGGUGGUUAGGCGGAAUGCCAAGUCAGCGGUAAAAUCGCGGGGCACAACCGCGCUCCGCCGUUGAAACUGGCGUUCGUGAGUGGGCGAGAAGGAGGCGGAAUGCGUGGUGUAGCGGUGAAAUGCAU
RNAcentral lists this ribosomal RNA (356 nucleotides) under uncultured bacterium. Its description in RNAcentral is "partial 16S ribosomal RNA". It matches the Rfam family "Bacterial small subunit ribosomal RNA", at positions 338 to 691 of the family's 1533-position model. The record is from RNAcentral.